GGGGGUUUAUUUAUACCCUUUGCCUUUUAAUCACAGCCUUCCAUCUUGAUUUAAUCUGAACCGUUCGAUCGCGAUUUAAUUUGGAUUAAAUUUAGGCCGUCCAUCGCGAUUAAAUUUGGGCCGUCCGUACUUGAUUGAAUCUGUGCCGUCCGUGCGCGUGCAUCUGGGCCGUCUGUGCGCGUGCAUCUGGGCCGUCCGUGCGCACGCUUGAUCUGGGUCGUCCGUGCGCACGCUUGAUCUGGG
Molecule: long non-coding RNA, 243 nt
Filed under: Carica papaya (papaya)
Lineage: Eukaryota; Viridiplantae; Streptophyta; Magnoliopsida; Brassicales; Caricaceae
Description: long non-coding RNA (CPAP_LNC014951)
Source: RNAcentral